GAGUUUGAUCCUGGCUCAGAGUGAACGCUGGCGGCGUGCCUAAUACAUGCAAGUCGAACGAUGAAGCUUCUAGCUUGCUAGAAUGCUGAUUAGUGGCGCACGGGUGAGUAACGCAUAGGUCAUGUGCCUCUUAGUUUGGGAUAGCCAUUGGAAACGAUGAUUAAUACCAGAUACUCCCUACGGGGGAAAGAUUUAUCGCUAAGAGAUCAGCCUAUGUCCUAUCAGCUUGUUGGUAAGGUAAUGGCUUACCAAGGCUAUGACGGGUAUCCGGCCUGAGAGGGUGAACGGACACACUGGAACUGAGACACGGUCCAGACUCCUACGGGAGGCAGCAGUAGGGAAUAUUGCUCAAUGGGGGAAACCCUGAAGCAGCAACGCCGCGUGGAGGAUGAAGGUUUUAGGAUUGUAAACUCCUUUUGUUAGAGAAGAUAAUGACGGUAUCUAACGAAUAAGCACCGGCUAACUCCGUGCCAGCAGCCGCGGUAAUACGGAGGGUGCAAGCGUUACUCGGAAUCACUGGGCGUAAAGAGCGCGUAGGCGGGAUAGUCAGUCAGGUGUGAAAUCCUAUGGCUUAACCAUAGAACUGCAUUUGAAACUACUAUUCUAGAGUGUGGGAGAGGUAGGUGGAAUUCUUGGUGUAGGGGUAAAAUCCGUAGAGAUCAAGAGGAAUACUCAUUGCGAAGGCGACCUGCUGGAACAUUACUGACGCUGAUUGCGCGAAAGCGUGGGGAGCAAACAGGAUUAGAUACCCUGGUAGUCCACGCCCUAAACGAUGGAUGCUAGUUGUUGGAGGGCUUAGUCUCUCCAGUAAUGCAGCUAACGCAUUAAGCAUCCCGCCUGGGGAGUACGGUCGCAAGAUUAAAACUCAAAGGAUAGACGGGGACCCGCACAAGCGGUGGAGCAUGUGGUUUAAUUCGAAGAUACACGAAGAACCUUACCUAGGCUUGACAUUGAGAGAAUCCGCUAGAAAUAGUGGGGUGUCUGGCUUGCCAGACCUUGAAAACAGGUGCUGCACGGCUGUCGUCAGCUCGUGUCGUGAGAUGUUGGGUUAAGUCCCGCAACGAGCGCAACCCCCUUUCUUAGUUGCUAACAGGUUAUGCUGAGAACUCUAAGGAUACUGCCUCCGUAAGGAGGAGGAAGGUGGGGACGACGUCAAGUCAUCAUGGCCCUUACGCCUAGGGCUACACACGUGCUACAAUGAGGUGCACAAAGAGAAGCAAUACUGCGAAGUGGAGCCAAUCUUCAAAACACCUCUCAGUUCGGAUUGUAGGCUGCAACUCGCCUGCAUGAAGCUGGAAUCGCUAGUAAUCGCAAAUCAGCCAUGUUGCGGUGAAUACGUUCCCGGGUCUUGUACUCACCGCCCGUCACACCAUGGGAGUUGUGUUUGCCUUAAGUCAGGAUGCUAAAUUGGCUACUGCCCACGGCACACACAGCGACUGGGGUGAAGUCGUAACAAGGUAACCGUAGGUGAACCUGCGGUUGGAUCACC
Molecule: ribosomal RNA, 1489 nt
Filed under: Helicobacter pylori Hp A-9
Lineage: Bacteria; Pseudomonadati; Campylobacterota; Epsilonproteobacteria; Campylobacterales; Helicobacteraceae
Description: bacterial SSU rRNA
Rfam family: Bacterial small subunit ribosomal RNA
Source: RNAcentral